Long non-coding RNA from Balaenoptera acutorostrata (minke whale), 6666 nucleotides. RefSeq lists it as uncharacterized. The transcript has 4 exons. Lineage: Eukaryota; Metazoa; Chordata; Mammalia; Artiodactyla; Balaenopteridae. The record is from RefSeq and is a predicted model, not a curated record.
GAUCGGAACCCAAGGGGGUCGAGGGUGUUUGCCCUCCCAGCCCCCGGUGGAGAGAGUUUGCCUCGUCGGUGUUGUCUCUCUGUGGCUUUUGGUGCCCGAGCCCAGCCCGCAGAAGGGUGCAACUCACUCCCCACUGGUUCUGGCCGCCCGCUGGCCCUGCGCAAGGCUGGCCUUCCUCGGCCUGCCUGGCUCCGAGGGCCUACGUCCCAGCCACGGUAGUUAAGGGGUGUGAGCUAAUGAGGUGUUGCAGGCAGGCGGCACUUUAGAACCAGCGGCACCCCAUUAUUCUGUAGCAAUUUGUGGAUAUGAAAACCACGUUUCGGAUGCCGCCACCAAAUCAUCUUCUGCUUCCAUCGGCUGUCCCCAAAUCUCACAUACUGAUGGUAGUCAGGAAAUCACAGCUUUUACUGUGUCGACUCUUACUGGGAGUAAUUUUAACAAAUUCUGUCAGGAUAGAUUAACUUUUAGUAGAUAAAUGUAACUCAGCAUUUUUUCUCUUUAUUUAUUUUUGCUUUGUAAAACUGAGAUGGCAGCUUUGCAUAGAAUAAGUUCAAGAUUUUUCACUAGCACAAGUUCGUUUCUGCUAAAGCUUGUGCUUUGGGGCUCCAGAAUCUUAGUUGGGUACCCACGCUUCCAAGGUCCUAUGACUGACCUCUAGAGUUUGAAUAUUUAUGUAAUUGUUUUUCUCAGUAAAUUUUCUAAAGCUUUCUAAUAAGCCGUCAAAUCAACAAACUCAAAAACAUUUGUUGACCAUGUGUAUGUCUUUACAAUCGUAAGAGAUAUGUCUAAGCACUAUUGAGACCUGUUCUCCAGCUGAUAAAUACAAUCCAGUCGUACAGAGAAUAAAAGAAUUGAAAGAAACAUCCAAGUUUAUCUGGUGCAAACACAGGACCUGUGCUUGAGUACCCCCCACCCCGACAUUUCUGCUAAGUGGUCAUGCAGCCUCAUGGAAUACUUGAGGAAGCCUGUAAUGUUUGCCCUCAGCUCUCUUAGAAAAGCCCUCUUUGUACUGAACUGAAACGUACCUCCCUGAAACUUUUACACACUGGUUCCGGCUCUCCCAUCUGGGCCCACACAGCUAAAUGGGAUUCCUCUUCCUUAAGACAGAGCUUUACUCAUUUGGAGAUGGCUUUACGUCCCCUUAACUCUUCCUUUCUCCGGGUUAAACUUAGCUACUUCGCACAGUGUGGCAGUGCCUAGACUCCUCACCAGCCUUGUAGCCUUUCUCUGGAUGGGACCCAGUUUCCCAAUGGCCACCCACCCCCCAGCAAGCAGAGUUCGUUUCCAGAAGGGGAUUCCACACUCACUCCGUGGGUUCCGACCAGCACACGGCAGGACUGGCACAUCCUGUAUGUUAAAUAAUUUGCUUCUAUUAAUGCAACGUCAGAAGACAAGCAUUUGGAGGGCAGGUACAGCACACCAUUCUGUUAGCUUUCCACAUUAUCUCAUGUAUUAGUUUCUAGGGCUGUCAUAACAAAAUAUCACACACUAGGUGUCAUAAAACCACAAAGAUUUAUUUUCUCACAGUUCUGGAGGCCAAAAGUCUGAGAUUAAGGUAUCAGCAGGUUUGGUUUCUUCUAAGGCUGCUCUCCUUGGCUUGCAGAUGGCCACCAUCUUGCUGUGUGCUCACAUGGUCAUCCCUCUGUGUGUGCAAGUGUCUGGUGUCUCCCUCUGUGUGUGUGUGUGUGUGUGUCCUAAUCUUUUUUAUAAGGACACCAGUUAUAUCGGAUUAGAGACCACUCUAACAAGCCCAUUUUAACUUUAUUCCCUCUUUAAAGGCCCUGUCUUGAAAUACAGUCACAUUCUGAGGUACUGGAGGUUGGUGGGGGGGGACACAAUUCAGUGUCCAGUGUUACACUCAUUUUACAGGCGAGGAUGCUAAAGACAAAGGAGUUCAAUCCAUUUACUCACGACCACCCAGCCAGUGGAGGCAUCAGAUUAAAUCUAAAGCAGUUCAGUUCCAUCCUAAUGGUUUUCCCAAUACAUCACAGCUAUUGCUAUGAACACCUUCCACCUCAAGGAUUCUAGAAUGAAGGCUGCAGGAGUUACUAAAUUGAACUCCUCUUUCUAGUUGCACUGGGGACUGAAUGAGAUCUUACAGAUCAUCUCCUGCAGCAAUGAAGAAACCACCAGAGUCACCAGACAGAGAAUAAGAUGACCACUUCAGCUAAUGCUGUUCCAGCCAAAUGCUGUGUACAUUCCCAGCAUUCUAGGAAAGUGCUUAAAAUAUCUCAGACAGACGUCCCAUGAAUCUAACUCUUCCUCUUGACAUAGAACAGUGUGAGAGAAUGCCAGAUAAAACAGCAGAUCCAGUCCUGCAAUACUCAAAAUGUCCAGGUUUCAAUUCAAAAUCACACUUCGUGUCAAGAACCAAGAAUAUCUCGAACUGAAUGAAAAAGACAAUAGGUGUCAAUGUGAGGAUGACAAAUGUUAGAAAUAUCUAAAGAUCUUAAAGAAGCCAUGAUAAAAAUGCUUCAACAAGCAAUUAUGAACACACUUGAAACAAGCAAAAUAUAAAAUUGUCUUGGCAAAUAGAAAGCCUCAAAAAAAAAAUACGAGAUAUAAAGAAGAACCAAAUGUAAAUUUUAGAACUGGAAAACACAUUAACAAAAAUAAAAAGCUCAGUGGAUGAGCUAAACAGCAGAAUGGAGGGGACAGAAGAAUCAGUGAACUGUAAGACAGAACAAUAAAAAUUACCAACUCUGAGAAAUAGAAAAUUACCAAAAAAAAAAAAAAAAAAAAAAUAGCAGAGCCUCAUGGACCUGUGGGACUAUAACAGAAGUUCUAACAGUCAUGGCAUGUCCCCAGAGGAGAGAAGUAAGAAGGUAGGGCUGAAAAAGUGCUCAAGGUAAUAAUGGCUGAAAACUUUUCAAAUUUGGUAAAGAGCUAACCCUACAUAUUCAAGAAGUUGAGUGAACCCCCCCAAAAGAGUAAACCCAUAGAAAUCCAUAAGACAUAUCAUAGUCAAACUUCUAAAACUGAAGAAAAGAAAAAAAUUCUUGAUCAGAGAAUGAGAAAAUAAGCCACAGACUGGGAGAAAACAUUUGCAAAAGAGUGGCUAUAUUAAUAUGAGACAAAGUGCACUUCAGAGCAAAAAUGACCAUAGACAGGACCAUCAUAAACUUAAAAGAGAGUCAAUCCACUGAGAAGACAUAGUUCUAAACAUCUAUGUAUAAACAACAGAAUUACAAAAUAUAUGAAGCAAAAACCAAUAGAACUAGAAAAAGGAAUAAAAUCACAGUUGCAGCUGGAGACUUGAACACCCUUCUCUCAACAAUUGAUAGGACUUCUAAAAAGAAAAUCAACAAAGAUACAGAAAAACUUAACACCAUCAACUAACAGGAUCUAAUCAACAGUUACAGAAAACCCCAGCCAGCAGCAGCAGAACACACAUUCUUUUCCAGCACUCAUGGAACAAAUAGCAAGAGAGAUCAUAUCCUGGUCCAGAAAAUAAACUCAGGACAUUUAAAUUAUUGAAAUCAUACAAAAUGUGUUCUCUGACCACAAAAGCAUCAAACUAGAAAACAAUUACAAUGAUACCAGGAAAAUCUCCAACAGUUAGAAAUUAAUCAGAACUCUUCUAAACAAUCCCUAAGUCAACGUCUCAAAGGAAAAUUUUUAAAAUACAUUGAAUUUAAUUAAAAUAAAAUGUCAGAUUUGUGGGACACAGCAAAAGCAGUGCUGAGAGGGAAAUUUAUAGAAUUAAGUACAUUUAAAAAGGCAAAAAUCUCAAAUCAGUAAUCUAAGCUCUCACCUUAGAAUAACCUAGAAAUAGAGCAAAAUUAAACCCAAAGCAAACAAAGAAAAUCGAAGAACAGAAAUCAAUUCAAAUAAAAUUGAAAAAUUCUCUGAAAAAUUCAAUAAAAUAGACAAACCGCUAACAAGACUGAUAAAGAAAAAAGAGAAGACACAAAUUACCAAUAUCAUGAAUGAAACAGCAAUAUCACUACAGACCCUGAAGACAUCAAAAGGAUAAUAAGGGAAUGCUAUGAGCAACUUUACACAAAGUUUGACAACUUAGAUAAACGGACCAAUUCCUCCAAAAACACAAACUACCACAACUCACCCAAUAUGAAAUAGAUCAUUUGAAUAGCCCAUAAUCACUAAUGAAAUUAAAUUCGUAAUUUUAAAACUCUCCCCCCAAAAUCUCCUGGCUAAAUGGUAACACUCAAGAAUUUCACAAAUGCUUAGACAAGAAAUAACACCAAUUCUACACAACCUCUUCCAACAAAAUGGAAGAGAAGGGAACGCUUCCCAGUUUAUUUCAUGAAGUUAGUGUUACCACAAUACCAAAACAAAGACAGUGUGAAACAAACCAAACCUGCAGAAUAAUGUCACUCAUGAAUAUAGAUGUAAAAAUCCUUAACAAAACGUUAGCAAAUUGCAUUCAACAGUAUAUAAAAAGAAUUAUGCACUACAACAAAGUUGGAUUUAUUCCAAGACUGCAAGGCUGAUUCAGUACUUGAAAAUCAAUCACCAUAUUAAUAAUCCAGCACAUUAGCAAAUUGAAGAAAAGCACAUGAACAUAUAAAUCAAUACAGAAACAGCAUCUGACAAAAUUCAACACCCAUUCAUGAAUAAUACUUUCAGAAAAAUAAAAAUAAAGGGGAACUUCCUCAACUUGAUAAAGAGCAUCUACAAAAAAAUCUACAGCAAGCAUUACACCUAAGUGAAAGACUACAUGCUUUCUCCCAAGAUCGGGAACAAGGCAAGCGUGUCCAUUCUCACUGCUCUUAUUCAACAUCAUGCUGGAAAGCAAGAAAAGAAAAUAAAAAGCAUAAGAUUGGAAAAGAAGAAACAAAACGAUCCUUAUUCAUAGAUGACAUGAUGGUUUAUAUAGAAAAUCCAAAGGAAUCUAUGUAAAUCUUCUAAUAAGUGAGUUUAGCAAGAUCACAGGAUACCAGAGCAGCAUACAAAAAUCAAUCAGAUUUCUAUAUAUUAUCAAUGAACACAUGGUCACUGAAAUUUAAAAAUACACUACCAUUUACAAUAACUCAGAAAAACUUACAUAUAAAUCUAAUAAAACAUAUAUAUGACUUACUUGCUGAAAACCACAAAAAGCUGAUGAAAGAAAGAAGACCUAAAUAAAUAGACCUACUAUCCAUGGAUUAGAGGACUCAACAUAAUAAAGAUGUCAAUUCUCCCCCACUGAUAAACAGAUUUAUUGUAAUUCCUCUUAAAGUCUCAGAUUUUUAGUAGAUAUGGACAAGGUUAUUCUAAGAUGUAUACGGAAAGGCAAAGGAACUAGAAGAGCUAAAACAAUUUUGAAAAAGAGAAAGUGAGAGGAAUCAGUCUGCCCAGUUUCAUGACUUAUUACAUGGCUGCAGUAAUUAAGACUAUGUGAUACUGAUGAAGACAUAGACACAUACAUUAAUGGAACAGAAUAAAGAAACCAGAAAGAGACCCACAGAAAUAUGUCCAAUUAUCAUUUUCGGCAAAGAUGCAAAAGCAGUUUGAUGGAGAAGGACAGACAGCUCAACAUGAUACUGCUGGAACAAGUGGAUAUCUACAGGCAAAAAGUAAGGAAGUAACAGAGAGAGAGAGAGGGAGGGAGGAAAGGAGGGAGGGAGAAGGGGAGGAAGGAAGGAAAGACUUCAACCCAAGUCUCAGAUCUUAUACAAAAAUUAACUCAAAGUGGAUCAUGGACUUAAAUGCAAAUUGUAAUACAAUAAAGUUUUCAGGAAAAAAUCUUCAGGAUCUAAAGUUAGGCAAAGAGUUCUUAAACUUGACACCAAAAGCACAAUCUAUAAAAGAAAAAAUUGAUAAAUUGGACUUUAUCAAAAUUAAAAACUUUUGCUGUGUGAAGGAAUCUGUUAAGAGGAUAAAAUGACAAGUUAUGGGAUGAGAAAAUGCAAGUUUAAACUAUAAUGAGAUAUCAUUAUUCACCUAUUGAAUGGCUAAAAUAAGAAAUAGUGACAACACAGAAUGCUGGCAAGGAUGCAGAGAAACUGGAUCACCCAGGCAUUGCUGGUGGAAAUGCAAAAUGGUACAGUCACUCUGGAAAGCAAUUUGGCAGUUUCUUCAAAAACUAAAGAUGUAACUACCAUAUGACACAGCAAUUGCAGUCCUGGGCAUUUAUCCCAGAGAAAUUGACUUAUGUUCGUACAAAAACCUAUAUAUGGAUGUUUAUAACAGUUUUAUUCAUAAUAACCCAAAACUGAGUUAACCCAGAUGUCCUUCAACAGCUAAAAGGUUAAACAAACAGUGGUACAUCCGUACCAUGAAAUACUACUCAGCAAUGAAGAGGAAACAACUACUGAUACACACGACAACUUAGAUGAAUCUCCAGAGAAUUAUGCUGACUGAAAAAAGCCAAUCCCAAAAGGUUACAUAGUGUGUGAUUCUACUUAUAUAACAUUAAUGAAAUGACAGGAUUGCAGAAACGAAAAACAGAUUAGUGGCUGUCAAGGAUUAUAGAUGGGAUGGAGGUGGAGGAAAGUGUUUAUGGUGAUAAAAGGGCAACAUGAGGGGUCCUUCUGGUGAAGGAAAUGUUCUGUAUCUUGGCUGUCAAUGUCAGUAUCCUAGGUGUGAUACUGUACUAUAGUUUACAAGAUGUUAUCAUCAGGAAAAAUUGGGUAAAGGGCACAUAAGAUCUCUCUGUCCUACUUCUUAAAACUGUAUGUGAAUCUACAAUUAUCUCAAAAGAUUUCUAAAAAUAAAAUAAAA